UGAAGGAGGAGAUCCAGGUUUAAAUCUGGCUUAUUAACUCAAGCCAAUUUUAAGGAUUUUCUGUAUAGAUUAUUCAUGUCAGACCAAGAAUUUAAAUUAUUUUGAGAGAGGCAUUUAAUUCUAAUAAACCAGCUGUUACAAAAAUUAUAAAAUGAUCUCUGUUUUUCCUGUCAGAGAUUUAAAAAACUGAAAAGGUAUACCUCAACCCAAAAAUAAAGGUUUGGUUUGGUUUGUUAUGGCUUCCUUUUUAAAAAAAUUUCCCUGUAGUGCCAGUUUAUUAUGCAAAGCAGCUUAUAUUCCUCUGUUUCUGAUAAAAUGAAGACUUUAACUCAGUCAACAGUACUUUCCCUUUCAAGGCAUUAGUAAAUUACUUGCAAAUAGUUUUAAAAGGAAAAUUCGAUUUCUGUUAUAGGCAGUCUUCUCUUUAAGACAAUACUUUUCCACUUAUUUUUUUCCUUUUCCAUAUUAUCUAUGUGUAUUCAUAUAUCUAUAUACAUAUUCAGUUGAUCAUUUUAUAAACAUAUAUGAAGGCAUAAAGAUAUACAGAAGAAAAAUUAUUAAAUAACUCAUUUUAAGAUUCAAAUUAAGUAAUUCCUGCAUGUAUGACAUUCCUUACAUAAGCGAACACUAAACAAAAAUGGCUAGAAAUGUCUUUUUCUUUUCUCUUUUUGUUGUUUGUUUUAAGGUAUUAAGCACGAAUUAUUACAUGAGACUGGCAGAUAGCUAUUAAUCCUCUUGCAGAUUUGAGAAAGUUGAUUCUCAAAUAUUUAUGCACCUUCUCCUUCAUUGUUUUCUUUAAAUCUGUCCUGUUAAAAAGCUUCUUAAGAGCUCAGUUAAUGCUUUUGACUUAACUAGGAGAAAAAGGCAUGAUAAUACAGGCAAGAUGGCAUUGUUAGCAAUUCUGGUAGUGGUUUGGAAUGAAUCCUAAGAGGCAGGGAUCUUAAGGACAAGGAAGAGAAGAGAGAGAGGAGGGAUCUUUGAUCUCUUUCUCUGGUAAUCUUAACGCGUAAUUUUACUACAACAUGUUCUCAAUUCAUUUAUAUUAUUAUAUUAAGCUCUUUCUGCAGUUGAUAUCUGAGCAGAGUAAGAUUUGUAUUUCCAUUUUUACUUUUUUGAAAGAGAAUAUAUGGACAGAUCAUUAGUACAAUUUGGACACUGUGAUUGUAAGAAUAUCUGAGUAAAAUAACAAUAUGAAAUAAUUAAUAGAAACUCUAGCGUCAGGUAACACGUAGACAGCAAGAAAGGUUUUGCACCAUCCUCUUACGGCCUAGGGAGUUGACAAGUUGCUUGUAGUUUUAAACAAAUAAUAAAGUGUACCCUUCUGGUAUAUCAUCAAGAGCUUAAGAAUCUUGGCUUUCAUAUUUAAAAUGCUUUUGGGGAGACAUAUAUUAAAAUUUUAGCCAAGAUGAUAGACAUGUCUCAAUUAUAUAUGUGUGUGUAUAUUUUUAAAGCUAGAAACAUUAUUUUUAGAUCCCUAGAAUGAAAUUUUUUUUUCAUCUAUGCAAUUCCCAUAUGGUUUUUUUAAAUCAUAUUUUAUUCAUUUUCUCCCUUCAGCAGUUUUCAUUUUAUUUCUCAUAAUUUGAACAGAGACAGUUCUCAUAUGUGAACAGAUGCUUUUUUUUUUCCUUCUUACCAUCAUUUAUGCAUGACAUAGGUAAAGUAAUAUGACUAAUUUCUCCAGUUGAUUCAAGAAACUCAUUACUUUGCCUCAAAUUAUAUGUAAAAUAUUUGUUUUACUUAGGUUACAGUUAUCAGAAAGCCAGGUAGUUUUUUUCUUCUAUUAAAAUAUAACAUAUUGUGAAAGAAAAUAAAAUUUAUGCUAUUCAUUCUUUGCUUUGUUUUUAUAAAUGAAUUUUUCAUAGAAUUUACAGUAUAUUCAUAGGAAGAAAGAUAAAAUUAUUGGUCAUCAUUUGUACCUUAGAAGUACAAGAAUUUAAGUAAAAGAAAUGUUCAUUUUUGUUUUAAAAUUUGUUUUCCAUGUGAAGUUUUUAUUGAGCCAACUUUCAUACAUAUCUCGCUAGCCUAAAGUCUAAAUAUUUGUGUUGGCAUCAGAAAAACAAAUUAGACAGAAUUGCUAUGUGUGGUUGAUCUUCAGAUAAAUUGACUGAUCACAUUUAUUUUUGUAUCAGUCUAUGUCAUUUAAUUAGGAAAAAUUGUUUAGUUGUUUUCUCCCCUGAUUAAUGGUGAUACUCAAGUAUGAUACAAAAAGAAUUGUACCACCAAAUAUUUUUGUGAGGUCUGCUGUUUUCCAUAUUCAUUUUAUGCUACUGCCUUUAAGAAAGAACCAGUGUAUCCUUGAAAUAGCACAAAAAUGUUUUAAAAUUCAUAAUUGCAAAACAAAUCUGUGACUAACUUAAUGUCUUCAGAUCUAAAGGGUGUAAAAAUAUUGAUACUUCAAUAUUUCACUUGCUGCCAGGAAAAACAAAAUUCUCAAUCUUUUGUAAAUGGGAGGAGGACUUUUGCAUACAUUUUUACUCUUUAAAUAACGACAAUGACACUUAUACUGUCAUAAUAACAAUUAUGUAUUUCUUUGUGGUUUUAAUUUUUUUUGUAAUUUUACAUAAAACAGUUAUUUUCUAUUUUUACGCAGAUAAAAAAUAUUUGUGCAUAAAAUGUAAAAAUAGUAAAAUGAGAAAAAUAAAACUAUUAUAC
This is a long non-coding RNA of Pongo abelii (Sumatran orangutan), 2652 nucleotides long. NCBI's taxonomy places the organism in Eukaryota, Metazoa, Chordata, Mammalia, Primates, Hominidae. The record is from Ensembl.